CCAGAGGUUACUGCUAUCGAGGUUCGACUAAGCCAUGCGAGUCGAAUGUAGCAAUACAUGGCGAACUGCUCAGUAACACGUGGACAACCUGCCCUUAGGUUGGGUAUAAACCCGGGAAACUGGGUAUAAUACCCGAUAGGUCUCGAUUGCUGGAAUGCAUCGAGAUUUAAAGCUCCGGCGCCUAAGGAUGGGUCUGCGGCCUAUCAGGUAGUAGUGGGUGUAGCGUACCUACUAGCCUACGACGGGUACGGGUUGUGAGAGCAAGAGCCCGGAGAUGGAUUCUGAGACACGAAUCCAGGCCCUACGGGGUGCAGCAGGCGCGAAAACUUUACAAUGCUGGCAACAGCGAUAAGGGAACCUCGAGUGCCAGGUUACAAAUCUGGCUGUCGAGAUGCCUAAAAAGCAUUUCAUAGCAAGGGCCGGGCAAGACCGGUGCCAGCCGCCGCGGUAACACCGGCGGCUCGAGUGGUAACCGUUAUUAUUGGGUCUAAAGGGUCUGUAGCUGGCCGGAUAAGUCUCUUGAGAAAUCUGGCAGCUUAACUGUCAGGCUUUCAGGAGAUGCUGUCUGGCUCGAGGCCGGGAGAGGUGAGAGGUACUUCAGGGGUAGGGGUGAAAUCUUGUAAUCCUUGAAGGACCACCAGUGGCGAAGGCGUCUCACCAGAACGGACCUGACGGCAAGGGACGAAAGCUAGGGGCACGAACCGGAUUAGAUACCCGGGUAGUCCUAGCCGUAAACGAUACUCGCUAGGUGUCGGCCACGGUGCGACCGUUGUCGGUGCCGUAGGGAAGCCGUGAAGCGAGCCACCUGGGAAGUACGGCCGCAAGGCUGAAACUUAAAGGAAUUGGC
Molecule: ribosomal RNA, 847 nt
Filed under: uncultured archaeon
Lineage: Archaea
Description: bacterial SSU rRNA
Rfam family: Archaeal small subunit ribosomal RNA
Source: RNAcentral